RNAcentral lists this unclassified non-coding RNA (1672 nucleotides) under Pomacea canaliculata. RNAcentral's name for it is "uncharacterized LOC112568756, transcript variant X2". The record is from RNAcentral. Lineage: Eukaryota; Metazoa; Mollusca; Gastropoda; Architaenioglossa; Ampullariidae.
UUUGAACAAAGUUUAUAUUAAAAGUUCAGGAUAUCGUCUGUCAGUUCCCAAGUGAGGUUUUUUGAAACUAGCUGAAUUAUUAGUUUCAAAUAGUAACAUGUGGUGGAGAAGACUAAUGGUUUCCCUGCUGCUUGCGCCUUGGUCGAUUCAAGCUUCGUUUUCAGAUUAUUCGGGAAAUGCUACUUCUCGCUGCCCGAGAUAUGUGAGGGAAGGAAAGUCAUUGAAGUGUGACUGUUUGGUAAGUAUCCCCGAGGUCUCAGUGCUGUGGCCAGGACACUCCAACAACAGCAUGCUGACAGUGCCGAAAGUCACCCGUGCUGAUAACGGUACAGUCUUCACCUGUCUUAUGACUUGGGAUGAACUCAAAACAACAGCAAACUACACACUUCAAGUGUCCUAUGGUCCAGACGAUCAUCACACACGGAUACAUGGCCCUGAUGUGUUGGUUACUGACGGAACGAAAUACUUUAAUUUCACCUGCCAGGCAACCGAUGUCUAUCCUCUCCCCAUAUAUACCUGGGACGGUGUCACGUGUCACAAUAGCGACACUGACACAGGACUUUGUGUACUGAAACCUCAGCCACCAUGGGAUGAUGGACUAAAGAUGCAGUGUACAGCAACAAGCAACACGACUUCACCCUCAGUUGGAAAGACGACACUCCGGCUGAAUCUAACAUAUCCACCCCCGAAACCUCCCAAAAUAGUUGGGUACAAAGCUGGACAAGUUCUCAAAAAUGGAGACAACCUUCACUGCCUUGUAUCCGGAGGAAAGCCGCUGGUGAAAGAAGUGAAUUUCUCGUGUUCCUCUGAUCCGCCUCAUGAAGAUCAACAGGACACGACCAAAGGUUCGUUGGUGGAAAGUUCUCUGACCAUCGGCGCUGUUGACUCAUCCAAUUACAGCAUGCAGUGUGUUUGUGGAGCCACCUGGGAAGCGGAUGAAGAUCUCUACUCACAAACUUCAAGUAUUACUGUCUUCGUACACAACAACGAUGAAGGGAUAUUUUUUGGAGAUGUAAAACUUGGAGUAACUGUCGGUCUUCCGGCUAUUAUCAUUAUCAUCGUAUUCAUCGCGGUUGCAGUUCAUGUGAAAACGAGGAAAACGCAAACAGGUCUGGCCAAAAAGAUCCCUGAAUCCUGCCAUCAGGGUAACGGCAAUGGGCAAACUCAUCAAACAUCGUCUCCAGAUUAUGAAGAAGUUGAUGAACUGGCAAUCCAGGAAUGUAGCAUUGGCACUAUCGUCGAGCAUAGUUCACACGUGCUCAGUGUUUCAAAAAGUAAAGCAUUUUCAUGUGAAAAUAUUGCAUGUAAAAUAUCAAAAUCCCAAAAGAUUUUUCAUUCCUGUUCUACGGGUUUGGACUCUGAAAAAAGAAUGGAAGUGUUCCUUACACCGGGGCUAGGAAUCAGUCCAGGGAAGACAACUCAGCUGUUGGCAGACUCCAAUGACGGUCAGUACACAGAAAUCGACAUACACAUCGAAGGAGAAUCGACGAUGGGAAAUCAUCUAAAUAACUUCACAACAGACACAGGUAAAGAUGUAUACACUCUGUGAGUAAUAACUCGUCUGUUAUGGCUACAAAAUGUUUGAAAGUAUGAAGAAGACCUCUCACAUAUUAAACUGUACAUGCUAGCAAAUGUAGCUAAAACAUAUCUUUUUUGGAGAAGGGUUAAAAUU